This 229-nucleotide ribosomal RNA is filed under the name uncultured bacterium. RNAcentral describes it as "partial 16S ribosomal RNA". It matches the Rfam family "Bacterial small subunit ribosomal RNA", at positions 118 to 348 of the family's 1533-position model. The record is from RNAcentral.
UGAGCAACCUGCCCUUGACCCUGGAAUAACAGCUGGAAACAGCUGCUAAUACCGGAUACGACCUCCGAUGGCAUCAUCUGGAGGUGGAAAGCUCCGACGGUCAAGGAUGGGCUCGCGGCCUAUCAGCUUGUUGGUGAGGUAACGGCUCACCAAGGCUUCGACGGGUAGCCGGCCUGAGAGGGUGACCGGCCACACUGGGACUGAGACACGGCCCAGACUCCUAGGGAGG